Molecule: ribosomal RNA, 494 nt
Filed under: uncultured bacterium
Lineage: Bacteria
Description: partial 16S ribosomal RNA
Rfam family: Bacterial small subunit ribosomal RNA
Source: RNAcentral
GACGAACGCUGGCGGCGUGCUUUAGGCAUGCAAGUCGAACGCGAAAGCCCCUUCGGGGGUGAGUAGAGUGGCGAACGGGUGAGUAACACGUGGGUAACCUGCCCCUCGCAGGGGGAUAACCGGGGGAAACCCCGGCUAAUACCCCGUACGCUUGCUGGGGCGCAUGCUCCGGCAAGGAAAGGUAGCUUCGGCCAUCCGGCGAGGGAGGGGCCCGCGGCCCAUUAGCUAGUUGGUGGGGUAACGGCCCACCAAGGCGACGAUGGGUAGCUGGCCUGAGAGGGUGGUCAGCCACACUGGGACUGAGACACGGCCCAGACUCCUACGGGAGGCAGCAGCCAGGAAUCUUGCGCAAGGGGCGAAAGCCUGACGCAGCAACGCCGCGUGGGCGAUGAAGGCCUUCGGGUCGUAAAGCCCUGUUGUCGGGGACGAAGGGCGAAGGGUUAAUAGCCCCUAGCCUGACGGUACCCGACGAGGAAGCCCCGGCUAACUACGUG